Molecule: unclassified non-coding RNA, 181 nt
Filed under: uncultured fungus
Lineage: Eukaryota; Fungi
Description: sequence contains ITS1
Source: RNAcentral
UUGAUUGAUUUAUCAUUCGACUCCGACGCAAGGACGCAGGGUUUUGAUUGGGGCCGUCCGGGGCGCCCGCCGAAGCGGGCCACCCCGAGGCAACGCGGUGCGGUCGACAAAGGGUUGGGAGGUCGGGCGCGCGAGGCGCCCUCUCUCGGUAAUGAUCCCUCCGCAGGUUCACCUACGGAGA